RNAcentral lists this ribosomal RNA (221 nucleotides) under uncultured bacterium. RNAcentral's name for it is "partial 16S ribosomal RNA". It matches the Rfam family "Bacterial small subunit ribosomal RNA", at positions 524 to 743 of the family's 1533-position model. The record is from RNAcentral.
UACGUAGGGUGCGAGCGUUGUCCGGAAUUAUUGGGCGUAAAGAGCUUGUAGGCGGUUUGUCGCGUCUGCUGUGAAAAUCCGGGGCUCAACCCCGGACUUGCAGUGGGUACGGGCAGACUAGAGUGUGGUAGGGGAGACUGGAAUUCCUGGUGUAGCGGUGGAAUGCGCAGAGUAUCAGGAGGAACACCGAUGGCGAAGGCAGGUCUCUGGGCCACUACUGA